UAACGGCCUACCAAGGCGACGACGGGUAGCCGGCCUGAGAGGGCGACCGGCCACACUGGGACUGAGACACGGCCCAGACUCCUACGGGAGGCAGCAGUGGGGAAUAUUGCGCAAUGGGCGAAAGCCUGACGCAGCGACGCCGCGUGGGGGAUGAAGGCCUUCGGGUUGUAAACCCCUAUCGACUGGGAAGAUUAUGACGGUACCAGUGGAAGAAGCACCGCCUAACUCUGUGCCAGCAGCCGCGGUAAUACAGAGGGUGCGAGCGUUGUUCGGAAUUAUUGGGCGUAAAGGGCGCGUAGGAGGUAUUGUAAGUCACCUGUGAAACCUUUUGGCUUUUCCUAGAGCCUGCAGGCGAAACUGCAAUGCUGGAGGGUGGGAGAGGUGCGUGGAAUUCCCGGUGUAGCGGUGAAAUG
This 413-nucleotide ribosomal RNA is filed under the name uncultured soil bacterium. Its description in RNAcentral is "bacterial SSU rRNA". It matches the Rfam family "Bacterial small subunit ribosomal RNA", at positions 258 to 688 of the family's 1533-position model. The record is from RNAcentral.